This 427-nucleotide ribosomal RNA is filed under the name uncultured bacterium. Its description in RNAcentral is "partial 16S ribosomal RNA". It matches the Rfam family "Bacterial small subunit ribosomal RNA", at positions 355 to 774 of the family's 1533-position model. The record is from RNAcentral.
UGGGGAAUAUUGGACAAUGGGCGAAAGCCUGAUCCAGCCAUGCCGCGUGUGUGAAGAAGGUCUUCGGAUUGUAAAGCACUUUAAGUUGGGAGGAAGGGCAUUAACCUAAUACGUUAGUGUUUUGACGUUACCGACAGAAUAAGCACCGGCUAACUCUGUGCCAGCAGCCGCGGUAAUACAGAGGGUGCAAGCGUUAAUCGGAAUUACUGGGCGUAAAGCGCGCGUAGGUGGUUUGUUAAGUUGGAUGUGAAAUCCCCGGGCUCAACCUGGGAACUGCUUUCAAAACUGACUGACUAGAGUAUGGUAGAGGGUGGUGGAAUUUCCUGUGUAGCGGUGAAAUGCGUAGAUAUAGGAAGGAACACCAGUGGCGAAGGCGACCACCUGGACUAAUACUGACACUGAGGUGCGAAAGCGUGGGGAGCAAACA